UAAAAGCAUUUCACUUCCAAGGAGAGCAUUGAUUUUUUGUUUGCAAUCACCUUUAGUGGCCUUAGCUUCACCUUCAGCAAAAAUUGUAAUUAAUGUUUAUUUAAAUUUGACUAUAAUUCUUAAUUUGAUCAUAAAAUAUAAAAAAAAAACAUCCAACUCCAGCACAUCAAAAUGGCAUGCUGCCCUUUCAAAUCAAUAGAUUUUUUUUCAUUUGCUUACUUUUUUUCUGAUUCGUUCUGUUUGGAAAUUUGGAUAUAAUUAUAUUUUGAAAAAUAUUAAAAAGGUCCAAGGCAAAAUUCGAGGCCUGUCAAUAAUGUACUCAAACCGUUAAAGCGCUAUAUCAUCAAUCCUUUACCCAAAGCGUUAAAGCGCUACAUCAUUCACUACUCUGUAUAAGCCAUAAAGAAGUGAUUACAUAAUAUAAUCAUUAUUUACAUUAGUAAUGGAUUAAUUUUAAAAAAUCUUAAAUUUCAAGCGUUCUUUAUUCCAGGUAAUUCUGUGAAAAUAUUUUCAGUUUUAACUUCGUGAGAGAAAAUUGGGCAACAUACUUAUUGUCGUGUUUACACAUUAAAUAAUAAUUUCGUAAUUUCAAAACAAAAAAAAUUCAGCCUCAGCCCUGUUUGGGUCCUACCUUUUAAAUAAGAAGAAAUCCAAAGAAGCCAAAGAGACGGAGGGAAACUUAAACGGUCAAGCUUGUGGAGUAAAAGAUUAUGAAAGUAAUGCAUAAUUUACCAAGGAAGUUAAUUCAAGCAGAUUGGCCGUAGUUGACAGAUCCUUUACGAAUCCAUGUUGAACAGGGGAGACAACAUGAUUGCAGAAGUAAGCAAAGUUAUUAUUUUUUCAAAUAAUAUCCACAAUUCCGACAGUUUUGCAAUGCCCCUGUAAUUUUUUAUAUUAGACUUUCCACCUUUCUUGUGGAGAGGAAUUAUUAUUCCAUAAGAUUCUCACCAAAAAGUUGUAGACAGAAGAUUUAAGGAAUAGAUUAAAAAGCUUAAGCAAUAGACGAAGAAAGGGAGAACUGCACUCCUUGAGUUGUCAACUAGGCAUAUUGUCAGGAACAGGAGAGUAAGAUUUUAAAGAAUUUAUAGCAGAAAGGAGAGAGGAUUGGGAAAUAAUUGGAGCAAGUAUAGAACCAAAGGAAGAAU
Molecule: long non-coding RNA, 1145 nt
Organism: Drosophila montana
Lineage: Eukaryota; Metazoa; Arthropoda; Insecta; Diptera; Drosophilidae
Exons: 3
Source: RefSeq, a predicted model, not a curated record